GCUUGUCUCAAAGAUUAAGCCAUGCAUGUCUAUGUAUAAACAAGUAUACUGUGAAACUGCGAAUGGCUCAUUAAAUCAGUUAUAGUUUAUUUGAUAGUACCUUACUACUUGGAUAACCGUGGUAAUUCUAGAGCUAAUACAUGCAUCAAACCCCGACUUCUGGAAGGGGUGUAUUUAUUAGAUGGAAACCAAUGCGGGGCAACCCGGUAAAUGGUGAUUCAUAAUAACUUUCGGAUCGAUCUUCGGAUCGAUGCAUCAUUCAAGUUUCUGCCCUAUCAGCUUUGGAUGGUAGGGUAUUGGCCUACCAUGGCUUUAACGGGUAACGGAGAAUUAGGGUUCGAUUCCGGAGAGGGAGCCUGAGAAAUGGCUACCACAUCCAAGGAAGGCAGCAGG
RNAcentral lists this ribosomal RNA (393 nucleotides) under uncultured Chrysophyceae. Its description in RNAcentral is "partial small subunit ribosomal RNA". It matches the Rfam family "Eukaryotic small subunit ribosomal RNA", at positions 30 to 432 of the family's 1831-position model. Lineage: Eukaryota; Chrysophyceae. The record is from RNAcentral.